GGAGUUGUGGCUCAAUGCUAGAGCACUUGCCUAGCAUGUGUGAGGCACUGGGUUCAAUUCUCAGCACUUCA
This 71-nucleotide transfer RNA is filed under the name Urocitellus parryii (Arctic ground squirrel). RNAcentral's name for it is "Spermophilus parryii (Arctic ground squirrel) tRNA". It matches the Rfam family "tRNA". From Rfam's summary of the family: Transfer RNA (tRNA) molecules are approximately 80 nucleotides in length. The record is from Rfam by way of RNAcentral. RNAcentral also lists the same sequence under 2 other names. Lineage: Eukaryota; Metazoa; Chordata; Mammalia; Rodentia; Sciuridae.